Pimephales promelas (fathead minnow) is the source of this 166-nucleotide non-coding RNA. Lineage: Eukaryota; Metazoa; Chordata; Actinopteri; Cypriniformes; Leuciscidae. The record is from RefSeq and is a predicted model, not a curated record.
AUACUUACCUGGCAGGGGAGAUAUCAUGGUCAUUAUGGUGAUUCUCCCAAGGCGAGACUUUGCCAUUGCACGUACGGCUUAGUUGACCCUUGCGAAUUCCCCACAUGUGGGAAUCUUGACUGCAAAGUUUAUGAUAGCGGGGGGACUGCGUUCGCGCUCUCCCCUA